GGAGCAAGAGUCGGUCGACGGGACCAGUGGAUGCUGAAGCUGAAGGAAAUAGAGGAAGAUUGCCCAACUCAACACACCCGUUACCUUGCAAAAAGGGGAACAUCGGUUUCUCGUGGGCUGGAAGAUGAAGAUUACCCAUGUGAGCUCCUUUUCAUCUGCGGUGCAUCUGUGGUCACGACAAGUUGUGGUAAUGGGAGCAUGGAACAGGGAUCCAGUGCUGAGAUGAUGUGGGUCUGCCCACCAUCACAUGGAUUGGCGAAUUUGAUGAGAUAAGUGUAGCCAUUGCAUCUGGGUGGCCCUUUGGCCCUUUGGGAGGCCAAAAGUAGAGAAGGAACCAGUGCUAUAAGAUGCAGGAACACAGAUGUGCAUAGGGGGAAGAUGUGCAUCAUGGAGGCCAUGUAGCCCAGUAGCUGUUGUACCAUGCAAACAUGGUGUCAGUGAUGACUUGCCACUUUGGUAGCUAAUGUGGAGAUGUUACGGAUCCUUCUGGCUGGUAGGAAGAUCUUGGCAUGUACAUAAUGGAACAAGAGUCCUAUGAAUUUGAUGCAUCUGGUGGGGUGGAAUUUGGACUUCUUGUAAUUUAUCUGGAGACUGAGAAGACACAGGCGGGAAAGACAUCAAUAGCAGGUGAGGGAAUUACAGAGAAGUUGUUGACUGACAAGAAGGCAGCAGGAGCCAGAUUGAAUCUAUGGCAGCUGGUGUGGGUGGAGUGUUGAUUAAGUGCAGUUGUCAUGCCCUUACCCUCAGAUAGUGAAGAGGAGGAGGAAGCUGGCAACCUUCCAGCUGAGCAAGAGGAGGAGAGUUCUUUCGUCAGGCUGCAGGAAAAAGCUGAAUCUACAGCAGCUGAGGGAGGAGGGCAAUUAGCCAAGUGCUGUCAACAGACCACGACCAAGUUGCUAGAAACAAUGUGUCAUUCCUGGAGUGUUGCUGCGGCCCCAGCCUCUGACUCUGAGGGAUUCCAGCUUCAUGUUGGCUUUGGAGUUUCUGGCUGGUCCUGACCAACCCUUGCUCCCUUCUCAUGACCGGACUGCUAUGCCCAGUCACUAUUUCCUUCCGUGGAGGAGGCCUUGCAGCAUGUUGGGCUCUGGACCCGUAGCUAUCUGGUGAGCGAACCAGGUUGUGGGGGCAGGCAGUUUGAACUGGACACUUCCAGUAAAUUGAUCUCUUGUGGUUUCUUUUCAGACCGAGAGGGACUCUGAGGAGCUGCCUGCGACCCUGCCUGAGACCUCAAUGAAGACGUCUGACAGAUGAACCAGAAAGGAUGCCGAGGAACUUCUAGCGGCCUUGACAAAGACCUUGACUCGGAUGCCGGACCGACAGACUCCUGUCGCAUGUGGCUGCUGAAUAUAAAUUUGGCAGCCUGUGCCUUGAACAAACUUCUGGGAAAAAUACAUCUAAUCUGCUUUGAGCUUUUGUCGGAGAGUGAGUAACAGCAGGAGAGAGGACAUGUCCUCAACUCCUGCCUGUGGGCUUCCGGCAGCAUCUGGUGGGCCACUGUGUGAAACAGGGUGCUGGACUAGAUGGGCCUUGGGCCUGAUCCAGCAGGGCUAUUCUUAUGUUCUUAACAUGUUCUGGUGUAUAUACCUGAGUGUCCUAGCAUAGUGAGGAAGGCUUAAAGCUAGUACUACCUGUUAUUGUUGCAAAUCUGUCUUAUGUAGCUAUUCUGUGCUUCUGUGUGCAAUGACACCAGUUGUAGAACAGUUCUCUGUGCUUACUUCUGACAUAUGUCUUGGGCUGCUUUCAUUGUGUUUCCAGCAUUUAGUGUGUCCUGAGAAUCAAAGGUCAUCAUGGCUCGCAUUUCCAAAAUGGUGGCAUACAUCAGUGCAUGAUACAUGCUGUCUUUUGCUCUGUAGAAGAGAGAAACAUGCAUCUUAAGAGAUACAGAAGGUUAAAAAAGCAGUAAAAUGAUUGUAAAGAGGCUGGCCUUUAAGAUGGUAGAGUAAUUGAAGUUGGGUUGUUAGAGGCAGGAUGUCUCUUAUUUUAUCCUUCUCCUCAUUCCAAAGGCUUUCAGAGCAGCUAACAAAUGAAGAGAAGAAAAAACAAACAAUAAAACAACAUCAGCACAGCAAAGCAGCAUAACAUAUACUAAAAAACAGCAUUAGUGUCACAUCAAGGUAAAAACUAAUUUAAACAUGGAAGUUCUAAAAGGACUGAGAAAUUAAGAAAUCUCCAUCCAGGGCAAACAUGUUAAGGUCAGCAAUAGGCAAUGCUCUCUGAGAAGAACAGAGGGCUACUGCUCUCAGACAGGUCUCCUUAAUAAAGCUGGAUUUCCAUAAGGAGCAGACUAGGGUCUUAAACAAAAGACAAGUCCCGAGAAAGGGAAUAACCACACCAAAAAUGUAAUCAAAGCAAGCUCCAAGACAAUUAGUUAGGUUUGGCAUAAUAGUGUCUGGGCGAUCCAUCUGAAUCAUAUCUCCUCGACCUAUGUAUUCCCCCUUGUAUCCACAACAGAGAUUCCUAAUUAUAUCCUCUAACUGAACCUUCCUGCCUUUGCAGGUCUUGCUAGGAGACCUCAAAACCAAAACAAAACACCAUAAACACCAUAAGAACAGUCCUUCUGGAUCAGGCCCAAGGAGGCCUAUCUAGUUCAGCAUCCUGUUUCCCACAGUGGCCCAUCAGAUGCCUGUGGGAAGCCCACAGGCAGGAGAUGAAGGCAUGCCCUCUCUCCUGCUGCUGCUCCCCUGCAACUGAUGUUCAGAGGCAUCCUGCCUGAGCCUGAGCCUGGAGUAGAGUUGCCUACAUGUUGUUGCCGGAAUACCAGAAACAAGAGGAGGUGUGGCAUUAUUUCUGCACAUGCUCUCCCUCUUCCAUUCUUCUUACACACCUCUUUCCUAUACACACGAGAGAAUACAAUGCAAUGGAGUUCUCUCUUCCAUUGCUCACCCCGCGCUUCCCUGGUAGGUGGCCUGUGCAGCAGCCACACAGCAGCCACCACAAUUCCAGGCACCCCAUUUUCCCGCAACAGCUUCCCUGGCAGCGUGCAUGGUGGCCUCACAGCAGCUCCAGGCGCCCCGUUGCUCAACCUGCCGCUUCCCUGGCGGCGGAGCCAAAAUAAGGGGGAAAUGGCAUCCAGAGCAGGACAACCAUUUCCCCUCAGAAAUACGGGAUGUCCCAGAUAAUCCUGGACUGUUGGCAACCCUAGCCUGAAGCUAGCCUAUAGCCAACAAGACUAGUAGUCAUAGGCAGAUGACUAGUCUUGAUGGCUACGGGCUACCUCUAGGCUUAGAGGCAGAAUACUUUGCAUACUAGUGAAUACUUUUGGUUUUAGGCAUGUGUGUGAGACUUCCUACAUGGAACCAUAGUGGCAUGAUCUAUCCUGUACUGCUCUGAAGCCUCAUCUCACCAAGUGCCUUUUUGGGUGCUCAGACUUCCUUGAGUUGACUCACUGGUCUGAGUCUCAAUUCUGAGUUGAAAUCACUGAGUUUUGGGUCAUUGCCAUUGUGGGCUUGCUGUGGGCUUCUCCUGUUAGCUGGAAACCUGGAAACCCCUGGACCUUAGAAAUGAAUCACUGAAACUUUAAACGAAGCCACUGAGAUUGAGUUUCUCUCAUGGGCAUCCACAGAACCUUUUUCCGGGGUGGGUGGAAGGAUUACACAAGCUUAAGACUGCACCGUAAUUUAAGUACUAUUAUUUCAAUGGUUUUUACUCUAAACAGGACUAACAUGGGUACAGCUAGGGUUGCCAACAAUGUGUUGGCUGAAAUCGGGACAGUGUCUCAGGGGGGCCGGGGGCAUGGCCACCUAGGGGCGGGGCUUUUUUAAAAAACCAACCUUUUAAAGCUGCAGCAGGACAGGUGGCGAGAGCUCCCCCGGCACCACAAACUCUGGGAAUGGCUGCUCUGGCCAGGGCAGGGCUGUCUGGGGCAGGCAUGGCACACUGACAAGCAGGUAAAAGAAUUAUGAAAGGCACUCACCACAGCGGCUCCAUGCCACUGACUGACUAGGACUCACUGCAGGGAGCCAAAGGAGGGUGUCGGAGAGAGGGCGGGUGAAAGACUCACUUCCUCGGCCCUGCCUUCCUCCAAAGGAGGCAGACAGGCCGAUUUCAGGCUUCUGUGCACACGGUUAGUGCUUGAGAGAGUGCUUUUCAUAAUUCUUUUACUUGUCUGUCAGCACACUGCGCCUGCCACAGCUGGAGCAGCCAAUCUGAGAGUUUGGCAGGCACCGCGAGAGCUCUCCCUGCCCGUUCUGCUGUUCUGCCACCACACAGCAGCAGCUUUAAAAAAAAUUUUUUUUUAAUUGAAAAAAAUUUAAGGUCAAAAAGCGGGAGAAAUUGCGCCCCGAAUGCGACAAGCAUUUCCUGGCUGAAAGUUGGGACAGUUGGCAACUCUAGAACCAGGACAGUUGGCAACUCUAGAACCAACACAUUUACUAAUGUUAAAGAGCAUAAUUUCCUCGCAGAUCUAUCUAUCAAAGUGGGAAAUGCAACUAAAUUCCUGAAAAUAUGAACAAACACAUCUACUACCAAUCAGAUUUAAAACCUUACAUGAAAUUCCAGUUUCUUAACAAUGUACAAGAAUGUUAAAAUAAUGUAUGUUUUGUGAGGUAGGGAGUGCUGCUUAAUACUCAGUUUUGCAGUCUUUAACCCUUGGUGAAAUAAACAGACAAUAUGGGUUAUGGAAAA
Long non-coding RNA from Hemicordylus capensis (graceful crag lizard), 4623 nucleotides. RefSeq lists it as uncharacterized. The transcript has 2 exons. The record is from RefSeq and is a predicted model, not a curated record. NCBI's taxonomy places the organism in Eukaryota, Metazoa, Chordata, Lepidosauria, Squamata, Cordylidae.